CGUAAACCCCUGUCAUUUGCGAACAAACCUCGCGCGCUAACAAAGCGCGAGCUGAUUGUAGCGAAAGAGGAAGGGACGGCUAACUCUGUGC
Molecule: ribosomal RNA, 91 nt
Filed under: uncultured bacterium
Lineage: Bacteria
Description: partial 16S ribosomal RNA
Source: RNAcentral